CGGUCUCUCGUUCUACUGCACCGUGACAACACCUGCAUAAAGGAGAGGGCCGUGAACGAUCGCGUUUACACCAAGCUUAGAGUAACACUCCAAAGCGCCACGUCAUCUCAAAGAUUCGGCCGGUAUGUAGCACCUGAUUGACAACCGAUGCUCCAAAAUUUAUUCUUUUCCAAUCCAAGAGAUAAAUAAUGUAGGGGAGAGUGAACUUCUCUAUUCCUAAAGAUAUGUCUCUUUAAAUAAUUUGUCCCGGCCACCAUAAAAAACCAUUACUUCUCUGUAAUUCUCUCGGAUCAAUUAUAUAUUUUACGAUCCAGACUCUACACUAAACCCUGUUUUUCUACUUUAAGUCUGUGGCCACCCAACAAAGGGAUUUAUUCUAGUCUAAGAAAUAAAGAAGAUUUACUAGUGAUCCAAGAUUCGGAUGGACUUGUUAAUUUGAGUGUGGGAGACUGUGUUUCAAGAGAUAAUAAUUAUCUAAGUUAAGCUGAACAAAGUGGUGGAGGUGUCAUUUUCGACCAGAUUACCACCAUGUAACACAACAUCUAGAAAAGUAUAUAAAGCACUUCAGAUUCUUUACACUUUUGAUUAGGCCGUGCCUAUUUUAGCGAUUACAAACUGUGGGAUGCAGCUUAUUAUUGCAAGGUGUUAUACAAUCUGCAAGCAUGGAGAAGUAGAUUGUGGGAUCAUAGCAAUCACUGGUACAGGGAAGGGCUUUAGCCCCGGGCCGUAAGCGCCUUUAGUCCCGGCUACGGAACCGGGGCUAAGGUUUCGGAACUAAAUGUCCCACCUUUAGUCGCGGUUCCGUGGACCGGGACUAAAGGUCCACCUUUAGUCCCGGUUGGUAACAGCAACCGGGACUAAAAGGUGCGCCCGGGUGUGCCAUCUGGCCUCCACUUUUAGUCCCGGUUGUUGCUACCAACCGGGACUAAAGACUUUUUUCUUUUUUCUUUUUCUUUUCAUUUGGUUUUCGAUUUAGGGUUUACAAUUAUGUUAUUGUUAUUUUCGAAUGCGUAUUGUUUGCUGGUAGUUUAUGGAACGUCCACCUAUAUAAUUUAUAUAAUUUAAAAGAUUACAUAUAAAUAUACUAUAAAACACUAUAUAUAUAUAAAUAAUUAUAUCUAUAGGUCCAUAAUAAAAUAUUUACACAUAUGCUUCACGGACAAAGUAUUUACAACACAAUUUUUCUCCACCACUCAAGCAUCGUACAAAUGAUCAUCGUUAUUUGGUUUCAUCUGCUCCUGAGGGUUGAAGUAGCACUCGCCGCCGGAAUCCAGGACUUGGUCAUUAAGAAAUCCUGCGAUUAUCUCCUAAAUUCCUUUUAGGCGCACCGCAUCCAACACCUACUCCUUCAGCCACAUCUUCUUUAAUAGACAUUAAAGAAAAAAGUUAGAGGUAUGAAUAGGAUUUAUUAAAUAGCAACAAAUAAAUGAAAUAUACUUAUUAUAUAUACAUGUUACAUACUUUUAGGUGCUCAAGAUUAGUUCUUUUGGCAUACACCGUCAUAAACUCGCACACAUAGUAGCCACACAAAUUGUUGCCCGGUGUCUGCCGUAGAACCCACUGAAGUAAGAUGGGCUUUGAAAGUGCUGCAUUCAACUCUGGACGGUGUUUCUGCACGAACCCAGCCCAAACCCUAGCAAUAAAACGAUCAUUAUUAAGUAUCCAUUACUAAGUUAAAAGAGGAGAAUUUAAUAUAUAGAGAUCGGAGUUACUCUUGGGUAAUAUCUAUCAUUUUUUGGUAAUCAUCCUGUGGUUUUCUCAAUGAGUCAUAGAUUACCAAUUGACAUUGCGAGAGAUCAAUGACAAUUAGUAUCCAAUGAAAGCUGCAUUUGUGUGCAUAUGUAGGCAAAAUUAGUAUAUAUCUUCAUAUUGAUCUGAUUAAUUAGUUAAAUAGAAUGUACACACGAUAACGACACUUACUUAAAGUUGUAGGGAAAGAGUAUAUAUCUUUUAUCUUUUUGGUUGAUCAAGAACCUCCGUAGAUUUCUCUCUGUUUGAGUUCUCCAUAAAACAUACGGGGUCUUGUGGUCUUUGAAUACAACAUUUGGAUCCACAAAUCCAAUCUCCUUGUCAUUUCUAACUCUGAGGUCCCUCAUCAUGUUUCUGCAUAUGUAUAGCAGGUUUCUGUAAUUAGUUAUAUAUAUACAUGAUAAGUUACAGAGACAUUAUUGAAAGGAAGAAUCACUUACAGACAGAAGCAACUCAUUAGAGAUUUGUCAAGAGCGUCCAUGUGGCAU
This 2237-nucleotide long non-coding RNA is filed under the name Sorghum bicolor (sorghum). RNAcentral's name for it is "long non-coding RNA (SBIC_LNC016396)". Lineage: Eukaryota; Viridiplantae; Streptophyta; Magnoliopsida; Poales; Poaceae. The record is from RNAcentral.